AACGAACGCUGGCGGCAUGCCUAACACAUGCAAGUCGAACGAGACCUUCGGGUCUAGUGGCGCACGGGUGCGUAACGCGUGGGAAUCUGCCCUGGGGUACGGAAUAACAGUGAGAAAUUACUGCUAAUACCGUAUGAUGACGUAAGUCCAAAGAUUUAUCGCCCUGGGAUGAGCCCGCGUAGGAUUAGCUUGUUGGUGAGGUAAAAGCUCACCAAGGCGACGAUCCUUAGCUGGUCUGAGAGGAUGAUCAGCCACACUGGGACUGAGACACGGCCCAGACUCCUACGGGAGGCAGCAGUGGGGAAUAUUGGACAAUGGGCGAAAGCCUGAUCCAGCAAUGCCGCGUGAGUGAUGAAGGCCUUAGGGUUGUAAAGCUCUUUACCCGGAAGAUAAUGACUGUACCGGGAGAAUAAGCCCCGGCUAACUCCGUGCCAGCAGCCGCG
Molecule: ribosomal RNA, 443 nt
Filed under: uncultured bacterium
Lineage: Bacteria
Description: bacterial SSU rRNA
Rfam family: Bacterial small subunit ribosomal RNA
Source: RNAcentral